GGAAAAGAACACCCGCUGAGUUUAAGCAUAUC
This 32-nucleotide ribosomal RNA is filed under the name Orthomnion dilatatum. RNAcentral's name for it is "partial 28S ribosomal RNA". The record is from RNAcentral. Lineage: Eukaryota; Viridiplantae; Streptophyta; Bryopsida; Bryales; Mniaceae.